AACGUAGGAGACAAACGUUAUCCGGAGUUACUGGGCGUAAAGGGCGUGUAGGCGGUUCGUUAAGUCUGGCGUGAAAGCUCUCGGCUAAACCGGGAGAGGUCGUUGGAUACUGGCAAACUAGAGGACGAUAGAGGCGUGUGGAAUUCCGGGUGUAGUGGUGAAAUGCGUAGAUAUCAAGAGGAACACCUGAGGUGAAGACGGGUUGCUGGGCCAACACUGACGCUGAUGCGCGAAAGCCAGGGGAGCAAACGGG
RNAcentral lists this ribosomal RNA (253 nucleotides) under uncultured bacterium. Its description in RNAcentral is "partial 16S ribosomal RNA". It matches the Rfam family "Bacterial small subunit ribosomal RNA", at positions 524 to 776 of the family's 1533-position model. The record is from RNAcentral.